AAAAAGGUAAGCUAAUAUUAAGCUAAUGGGUUCAUACCCCAUCUAUAAAAAUUUUAAUUUUUUUCUUUUUA
Molecule: transfer RNA, 71 nt
Filed under: Palaeocimbex sp. CSCS-Hym-MC0161
Lineage: Eukaryota; Metazoa; Arthropoda; Insecta; Hymenoptera; Cimbicidae
Description: tRNA-Met
Source: RNAcentral